AUCGAUGAACAAUCCCACAAGCCUCAAUCCCUCUUCUUCUCUACACUAUACAUCUUUAAUCCAUCUUCUAGGUAAUUCAAUCUCUCUCUUUCUACAAACUUUCAAUUUCUACAAACCCACUUCUUCUCCUCCAAAAAUUCCCAAUUUCAAUCCCUAAUUUUGAAAAUUCAUGUUUCAUGUUUCAUGUUUGUGAAAUCCGAGUUCAUUGGGUUUUGUAGAUUCGAAAUCAGAACUCAAACACAUAGCUUCAUAUUUCUGGGUUCUGGAUUCAUUGGGUUUAUGCGUUUCUGUUUUGAGAAGCACCAUGUUUCUUUUUUCUGCUGCCAUUCAGCUUCCGAUUUGAAAAAUGCAUGACAUGGGUUUGUUGUUGAUUUAAUUUUUGGGUUUUGUUAUGAAUUUCUGGGUUUUGUUAUGAACAAAGAGAUUGAUUGUUGUUGUUCUUGUUAUUUAUGCUCGAAUUUAUAGUGAUUUUGAUUUGUUGAUUUUUUUGAUAAUUUUGAUUUUUUCUUGUUUUUUAUUUGAUUCAGGAUUAGAGAGAAAGAGAUGGGUUGUUGUUGAAGAUGAAGAUCAUGGGUCACUAUGUUUGAAGAAGAUGAAGAUGAAAGAGGGUUUGAUGAACUUUGAAUAAUGAGAUGAAGAUUUAAGGGUUAAAUAUUUUUUGUUUUAUAAAAAUUAGUUUGUUUUUUUUUUUUUUUUGAAGCAAAAAAAAAAUUAGUUUUUUUUUUUAAAAAAAAUUAAUAGGUAAUAUAUUUAUCUAUAUGUCAAUAAUUAAAUUAAUAAAAAAUGAAUUAAAAUCCACACAUGCAUGCCAUGUCAUAAAAAAAAUAAGAUUCCAUGUCCAGUUGGCACUUAGGGGGGUAAACGAUGGAAUCUUGAUAUUACAGGGGGGUGAUCACAAUUAUUUUUUUUGCAGGGGGUAAGACAAAACUCUCAUAUUUUGCAGGGGGGUAAAACCCUAUUUACCCU
Molecule: long non-coding RNA, 966 nt
Filed under: Trifolium pratense (red clover)
Lineage: Eukaryota; Viridiplantae; Streptophyta; Magnoliopsida; Fabales; Fabaceae
Description: long non-coding RNA (TPRA_LNC010114)
Source: RNAcentral